Molecule: unclassified non-coding RNA, 3559 nt
Filed under: Acanthaster planci (crown-of-thorns starfish)
Lineage: Eukaryota; Metazoa; Echinodermata; Asteroidea; Valvatida; Acanthasteridae
Description: protein FAM91A1-like, transcript variant X2
Source: RNAcentral
AAGCAGAAAUCAAUAAGUAGAUUCGUGGUUGAUUUCUUGGCGAGACAGAAGGUGUGGAUUUUCUCGUCAAAUUUGGCUGUUCAGCCAACAGCAUUCCCUCCACAACAUGAAUGCGGAGGUGGAAUUCCACAUCAGGAAUAAUUACCCGUGGUCAAAGUUACCAGCAAACGUCAAGCAGAUAUUGGGACAAUCACAGAAAGAGUAUGAAAAGCUGGUCGUUAAUUUUAGCGUCAAGAACCAGCUGCGGUAUAAAGGCAACCUUGUGCGCACCGUGCGACGAGAUGAGAAGAAAUACUAUGAAGAACUCCUGAAGUACAGCGCCGAUCACCUGAUGCUGUACCCUUACCAUCUGUCAGACAUCAUGGUCAAGGGGCUUCGAAACACACCCUUUGCCUAUUACUUGAGGAUGAUGCACAGCAUUAUGUCUGGGGAGAAGAGCUAUGAUUCUUUACCCAACUUCACCGCUGCCGAUUGUUUACGACUCCUGGGCAUCGGGCGCAACCAGUACAUAGAUAUCAUGAACCAGUGUAGGUCAUCUAAGCCAUCUCUCAGUCGAAGUGGGAGCUUCAAUAAAUUCUUCCGUCGCCGUCCGAUCAAAGACCUCUUGCCGGUCAAGCCGGUCGACAGUGUCAUCCUGGAACCGUGGUGGAUUGUGCAAGCCGGGUACAUCACGGAGGACGACAUCAAGGCGGUAUCCAUUUCAGAGAAAAACACCAUCGAUAAGAUCAUCGAUGUAGGCGCCCAACUAGCGGGAACCUUGGAUUACUACAUUGCACAUAAACUGUACACAAAAGGCCUUGUUUACAUGGAUGUGCCUAUUGAAGAUGACGACUGUAUCAUUGUUCCCCCACUGGAAGGAUUUGUCAUGAAUCGCCUUCAAGGUGACUACUUCGAGACGCUCUUGUACAAGAUCUUUGUGUCGAUAGACGAGCAUACCACCGUGGCUGAGCUAUCCAAUGUUCUCCAGAUCGAUCUCCAGCUGGUCAAGAACGCUGUCUCCAUGUAUUGCCGCUUGGGUUUUGCCAGGAGGAAGGGUCAAGAACUAGACCCCGAGGCCUUGCAUCCGUCGUGGCAGGACGCAGAACAAAACACUUCCAAAAAGGCCAUCAGCGAUGACCUCCUCCUGAUUGACUGGAGCUCCACCCCCCAAGAGGCCAAGGUCUCCCCCACAGACAGCCAGACAGCCAUCUCGGACUCGGCCAGCAUCGAGGACUCGGAGACCUCAUCAUCUGGGAUCAUCAGCAGCGUGGGGUCGGGCCACAGCAAGCGCAUCGCGUUCCUCUUCGACUCAACGCUGACGGCGUUCCUGAUGAUGGGCAACUUGUCACCGUCCCUGGACGUUAAUCUUUUUACGGGUUUGAAGAGUCAUGCUGUGACGAUGUUCGAGGUGGGCAAACUCUCGGAUGAGUCUUUGGAGAGUUUCCUGAUGGAGUUAGACAGAGUGCCUAUCAAUAGUGUUGCAGAGGGCGAAGCACAGAGGUACUUUGAGCACGCCGUCACCCUCAAGAACACAAUCACAUUCCUUAGGUAUAACAAGAACAUCAGUCCAGAUUUGGAGCGGUACGGCAGCGGUCUGGGCAUCGACCUGCUACGGUGCGAGAGCCUGCUGGGUCUGGACCCGGCCACCUGCUCCCGAGUCCUGCAAAAGAACUACGAGUUAUUGGUCUCCAUGGCGCCGCUGAGCAAUGAGAUCCGGCCCGUCAGCAGUUGUGUCCCACAGCACAUCGGGCCAGCAAUACCAGAGGUGAACUCAGUCUGGUUCAAGCUGUACAUCUACCAUCUGGUCAAAAACGGCCCGCCAACGUUGCUCCUAGUCAAGGGAACAAGGUUACGCUACCUGCCUGAUAUGUUCCAGGAAUACGACAGGCUGCUAAUUACGACCUGGGGUCACGACCCCGGAUUGGUAGCCACAUCCAAUGCCCUACUAACAAUCAACGACGCCCUCGCUCACUCGGCCGUCCUGAUACAGGGCCACGGCUGGGUGACGGACGGUAGAACAUUCCACAUACCCUUCCCUCUAUCCGAAGACCAAGACAAAGGUGGCUCCACCUUAGCUUGGAUGGAGCGCCAUCCUGCCGUCUCUGCUCUUGCCAAAAUCCUGGAUCUCAGGCACACCUGUGGCUACAUCACCCUCCUCAACUCAGGCAAACCCCAGGACAGAAUACCCAAGGGACACCCCACGUCACACCCUACAACAGACGGGGUGACGGAACCCCUUCCAGAGGGAAGAACAACAGCCGCCACGGCAGAACAGAGCAGAGACUUGACAGACUCAAACCUAGCAGUCGCGCAAGUCGCGAAACAAUCGCUGACGCUGCCGGUCAGCUCCCCGAUGCAUGAUGGGAGUGCCAAUUGCCAUGGCAAUAAGUUCAAGGAUGCUGAUUGGUCACUUUUGGGAGUCUGUUUUGGUAUCCCCCUGUUUGGGGACGAAAUCAACAGGAUGGUGUGUGCAAAAGUUGCCAAGUUCGGACUCUGCCAGAGAGAAAGCCUUUCACAGCUGCUGCACAGCAGUCGAAAGUUGUCUCUGUAUCUGCUGAACUUCAUCGCUGAGCAACAGGACAUGCCCGUGGUACCAGACCUCCCGCCGGAAGCUUCCCUCCCAUCCUCCCCGUCCGCAGUCUCCGCCCCUUCCCUGCCCUACCCCACCAGGAACUUAGCAUUCAUCAACAACAAGCUCCAAGUCUGGAACGCCAGCUGAGUUUUAAUUUUCCCUUUACGAUCACCGUACUCCAUCCCAAGGUUAUACAUAGCCCUAAAUACCAACCCUAUGGGGUCGGAUAAAGUAUUAAGACAGGCGCUGUAAGUUUGUUGGAAAAAAAUGAACUCACGGAAAAUUUAGUUCCGAAAAUGAACACCCUUUGACCAGAAUCCAGCCAUAGCGCAUGAAGGAAUCAAAUUUUAAACUGUUAUUUUCUGUUGGUCAAAACUGGCGGUACAUUUUGACAGCUGUCUGUCCAACAAUUGACCCAAUUUUGUGUCUAUAACUUUACGUAGCAUGCUGCAAGUUCUAGGAUGGUACAGUAUACGCCUUCUUGAGAGAUGGCAUUCAAAAGUAAAAUCUUCCAUCUUCUUUCUUGGCAACUCUUGGAGAGGAUCAACGUGACAGUCUCUGUGAAACGGUUCUCCAGUGUUUUGUACAUUCUGUAGUCACUCCCUGUGCACGUGAAACAAGGAGGACCGACUCUUUGCAGGGCUUCCAAAUGCCGAACCUUUUAACCCCACAUGGCUGGAUUGCUCUAAAUGUCACCACGUGUGGACCUUCUUGGCCACGGUGAUUGCAUAUAUUCCUACGGGCAGCUUCAACCACGUGCAAGCGCAUUUGCGAACGCUGCAUGCUUGACUAGUUUAUCUUGAAUAAGUAGAUUAUUUCAUUAACAUCACAACACAAAGUAGUCCAGCAUGAUUGUGACAUCACAGGAAGAAAGGUGCAUAGAGCUGUGUUGACAAAUGUACUUCAGACUGGUGUUUUAAAUGAGACCAUUAGAAGACCAGUCACAAGACCAUUCACAAGAUCAGUCACAACACCAGUCAUCAGACCUUUCACAAGGCCAGUCACAAG